GGUGGCUCAGUGGUAGAGUGCUUGCCUUGCAUGCAUGAGGCCCUGGGAUAGAUUCCUCAGCACCA
Non-coding RNA from Dipodomys ordii (Ord's kangaroo rat), 65 nucleotides. NCBI's taxonomy places the organism in Eukaryota, Metazoa, Chordata, Mammalia, Rodentia, Heteromyidae. The record is from Rfam.